UCCUCUCUUAAGAACAUGAGUGAUGAACUCGAAGACUUUUCCUUUAACAAGCCGGAUGUUACAGCCAGCAGCUGGCUGACUCAUUUUGAAUCUCUGCACACAAAACACACAAUAUAUAGGCCCUGAACAGAUUAAUAUCUUACAAAUGCUUGAAACUCUUGAAAUGGAACCCACAAAUAAUUUACUCGAUGUACCUAUUUCAGCAUACGAAAUUAUCAACGCUGCGAGGAAAUUAAAAAACUGCAAAUCCGCGUACUCUGUUAAAAUAAGAAACGAAAUGCUCAAAUGCAGUACAAACAUACUGUUACAAGGAUACAAAAAACUUUUUAACCUCAUACUAGAAACUGGUAGCUUCCCAGAUCAAUGGUGUGAAGGUCUGAUUACGCCAAUCUUUAAGUCUGGUGAUAAAACUAACCCCAACAACUACAGAGGAAUUUGUGUGACAAGCUGUUUGAGCAAAUUCUUCUGUAUUAUCCCUGAUGACCGCCUAAGCAAUUUUAGUUACCAACAAAGCUUUAUAAUACAUCCAUCGCAAAUUGGAUUUCAGUCUGGCCACCGAACUGCAGACCAUAUCUUUACUUUGAAAACACUAUUUUUUUAUUCGUGGAUUUUAAAGAAGCCUUUGACUCUAUUUGGCACGAAGGUGUUUUUUUGAAAUUACUUGAAAAUAAAAUUGAUGGUCAGUUUUGUAUACUAAGCCCCCUUUUUUUCAAUAUUUAUAUUAAUGAAAUAACGACCUUAUUUAAAAACACCAAUUCGGCCCCAUUUACACUGCCUAACGGAACAGAACUGAGCUGUCUUCUUUACGCAGAUGAUCUAAUUAUACUAUCUAAAUCAAAAUUCGGCCUCCAGAAGUGUCUCGAUAAACUCCAUAGCUGGAGUAAGAAGUGCAUGACUAUUGGAGGUAAUUGGUAAACCCAAAUUAUGAUUUUUAAAAAAAGGAAAACAGAAAAAGCAAAACCAAUUUUCACACUAGGAAAUGAAAAGAUAUCCGUUGUACAGGAAUACUGUUACUUAGGCAUAAAGCUUAAUCACAAUGGUAACUUUGCUUUGGCUAUAUAUCAAACAGCUUAGUGAAAAGCCCUACAUGCGCUCUAUAGCAUCAGAAGACGGCUUAACCUACACCAACUUAACCACAAAUUUGCUAUUAAAAUUUUUAACAGCAUAAUAAGCCCCAUUCUUCUGUACAAUGCAGAAGUUUGGGGUGUAUAUAUCAAAAACGAUUUUAACAAUUGGGAUAAACUGCCGAUUGAAAAAGUACACCUAAAAUUCUGUAAGCUCUACUUGGGCGUUGACAGAAAGACGAGUAAUAUUGCCUCAAGAAGCGAACUUGGAGAAUAUCCAUUAAUUAUCAACAUAUUCAAAAGAAUCUUCAAGUACGUCACUAAUCUUAACUUACUUCCUGAAACAACUAUUUCAAAACAAGCUUUCCUCAUAUCAAAAGAUUUAUUUAUUAAAAAGAGCAAUUCUUGCUAUGGGAAAGCAAUGGAUAUAAUGAAAACCUUAAAUUGUAAUAGAGCAAUUCCCGACCUAGAUUCACUCACAACCAAUCUAGUUGAAUCAUGCUUUAAAGAUACUAAAGAAAACUACAAGAGAUUCUGGAGACAUAAACUUGAAAACUCUUCCAAACUUACCUUCUACACAAGCAUAAAGGAAGACUAUGAGCUUGAAACUUAUUUGACUGCCAUAACUAAUUCAAACCAAAGAAAACGUUUAAUACAGCUCCGACUCAGUAAGCAUAAACUAAUGAUUGAACUCGGUAGAUACGAAAAUAUUCCGCGAGAAGACCGAAUAUGCAAGGUCUGCCAGGUAGGAGAAAUUGAAACGGAACAUCACUUCUUAACAUCCUGUGAAGCCUAUAGUAGUCUUCGAUAAAACUUUUUAAAUGACUUGGAAAGUGAUCCCACCAAUGAAACAGAUUUAAACGAACACAGUUUAUCAGUUGAGAUAAUGAAAUCAACUGAUAAAGAAACCGCGUGAUAAAAUUAUAGAAAUUUAUCUCUUUAUGUUUUAAGAAGAGAUCUAAACGCCUUGAAGCUCGGAAUGCUGACAGUCAAUAGGCUAUCUAACUAACUCCCAAACUUCUUCAAUUACAUAUAUACUGUAAAUAGAGUAUUCAUUUGUAAACUAGGUUUGUCGUAUUACCACA
RNAcentral lists this long non-coding RNA (2149 nucleotides) under Paramuricea clavata. Lineage: Eukaryota; Metazoa; Cnidaria; Anthozoa; Malacalcyonacea; Plexauridae. The record is from RNAcentral.